ACAAAUACCACGUCCUUAUCACGUCAACAACACAUCAAUAACUAUUCAAUUAAAUCUGAAGAGCCAUCAAUUAACUUAAAUCAAAUAAAUUAAAAGGUUAGAUACUAAAAGUAAAAUUUUGAAAGAUUGAAUAAUUGAAUCAAAAUAAUUUAUAAUUCAGAUAAAUUUUACACAUUUUUAUCCUAAAAUUUUAAGCCAGAAACUGCAAUAAACUAAGAUAAGUACGAUUUACCCUACCUGAUUUAGCGCCACCCUAUACAUAAAAAAAAUAUUACUUUAUUACCCUCUCUUACGGCAAAUAUUUUUAGCAAAAUAAAAAAUAAAAUUACAGUAUAAUUAAGUGUAAUUUUUUGUACCUGAUUUUACUUUUUUAACC
RNAcentral lists this long non-coding RNA (376 nucleotides) under Ananas comosus (pineapple). RNAcentral's name for it is "long non-coding RNA (ACOM_LNC030190)". Lineage: Eukaryota; Viridiplantae; Streptophyta; Magnoliopsida; Poales; Bromeliaceae. The record is from RNAcentral.